UACAGAGGUCCCAAGCGUUGUUCGGAUUCAUUGGGCGUAAAGGGUGCGUAGGCGGCGGGGUAAGUCAGGUGUGAAAUCCCGGAGCUUAACUCCGGAACUGCACUUGAUACUGCCUUGCUCGAGUACUGGAGAGGAGACUGGAAUUUACGGUGUAGCAGUGAAAUGCGUAGAUAUCGGGAGGAACACCAGUGGCGAAGGCGACUUCCUGGCCUGUUCUUGACGCUGAGGCGCGAAAGCUAGGGGAGCAAACGGG
Molecule: ribosomal RNA, 253 nt
Filed under: uncultured bacterium
Lineage: Bacteria
Description: partial 16S ribosomal RNA
Rfam family: Bacterial small subunit ribosomal RNA
Source: RNAcentral